UAAAAUUGGUAAGUGGAAGAAGGAAGCUGUAAAUAUCAAAGAAAGCAUAGUGACUAAAAAAUUCAUGCAUGUUAUCUCCUUUUUUUCCCCUACUUUCCUUAUUGUUUUGUAUAAGAAGCAUUAGUGAAAGUGAAAAUGGCAACUUAGUUUUUAGAACAUAGCCAGAUGGGAUUGCAAUGGAACAAGAAGAUAACUUAGUAUGAAUCUAUGAAGAAUAGUAAAAAUAAGAGAACUUCUCAUCUUCCAUUUUGGAACAGAAAAGAACAUUUGCAUUUAGACAAAAUAUAGUUGUAGCAUAUUAAGCAGAAGCGAACCCCCAUUACUAUUUUAUGGUAUAAUGAUUAAUUUCAUAUAAAAAUAUGAAGUGGAUACCUCAAAGCAAAAACACUUCCUUAUAUCGAAUGUAUUAUUUGAAGAAUGUAGAAGCAGGAGUUCCCGUCGUGGCGCAGUGGUUAACAAAUCCGACUAGGAACCAUGAGAUUGCGGGUUCGAUCCCUGCCCUUGCUCAGUGGGUUAAGGAUCUGGCGUUGCCGUGAGCUGUGGUGUAGGUUGCAGACGCGGCUCGGAUCCCGCGUUGCUGUGGCUCUGGCGUAGGCCGGUGGCUAUGGCUACGAUUCGACCCCUAGCCUGGGAACCUCCAUAUGCCACGGGAGUGGCCCAAGAAAUAGCAAAAAGACAAAAAAAAAAAAAAAGAAUGUAGAAGGAAAGUUUCUUUCCAUACUUCUGCUCUCUUUUAGACAAACUCCUGUAGACACUACUGUUUCCUCUGCUUAGCGGUCACUUGGCCUUCUUCAGUAGCAAAACCAUGGUGUUUAGAGUCAAGGGGGGCAUCACAUGAUCAUAAUGAAGCAAAACUCAGGUGAAGCAACUAUAUGAGAAUCAUGGUUCCAAAAUAUGGAGACUUUUGUUCUUUUAUGAAAAACUGGAGCUAUUAGAUCAGCCCUUGGGUACUUUUAGAUUUCUUACAGGAGAUAAUAAAACCCCCAUUAUUUACCCCAUUUUAUCUUAAGUUAGGUAGUCUAACUUGUACAGGAAAAAAAAUUUUGACUCAAAUUGUUUUCCACAUUUAAGGACACGUAUGCUCUUCUAAUUUAUUACCACCUUAUCAGUGAUUACCCUGAUGACUCAGUAUAAAUAUCGAAACCAUCCUAGCACUUUCCACAGCUUUAAAACACACAAAAAGCCGGAAAAAUAUUUUUAAAAUCAAAAUUUUAACUACCCAGGUCUCCUCUGCCAAAAUUGUCAAUACUUCUUACUUAUAAAAGGAAAAAAACAUAGCUCCACAGUGUAGUGACCUAAUGAAAAGCCUCUUAACCUAGUGAUCAAAUAUUGGAAUAAGUGGACAUCACAGGCUUUCUGGGAAGGGCAUCCCAUUACUCUUUUAGUAAUCCUUACAAAUCAUGAUCUACAUUUAAUCAUACAGAGCAUCAAACAUACACAAAUUGAGUUACAAAAUAACUGCGUUGUAUCUCUCAGAAAUAUCAAGGUCACAAUAGAGACUGAGAAAAAGGAGCCCAAGAGAUAUGGCAACUAAUUGCAGAUGAUCCAGAAUGGAUCUUGGACUGGGAAAGGAAUAAAUACAGAAAAUUAUUAGAACAAUUGGCAUAAUUUGAAUAUGUAUAAUAGAUUAGAUGAUUAUCUAUAGCUGUGUCACAAUAAAAGCAAGUACUAACAGUGUUUGUGAGGUAGUGGAGGAACUAGAAUCUUCAUACACAGAUGUAUAAAUCCUCAUGCAUUGCUAGUAGCAAUGUGCAAUAGUGCAUCUGCUUUAGAAAACAGUUGAGUUCUUCCUUAAAGGGUUAAUUAAUCAUAGCGUUAGCAUAUGAUUCAGCAUUUCCAUUUAGGUCUAUACCCAAGAAAAUUAAAAAUGCUGUCUCUGUUUUUUAUGAAAUUCACAGAAAGAUAUUAAUGUAGAGAGGUACAAUGUCUCCAAUUUACCACUGAAUGAUUAAAAGUAAAAUUUCUUGAAAUUAUAUAAAAAUAAAAGUUAGAAAACCACAUCCACAAAGGGAAGCCUUAUCACAAGCACCACUUGGGCAGCUUUCUUUCUUAAUGUCUUGAUCUAAUGCGUAUGUUCUGUCUCCCCCCCAUAAUAUCUUAGACAUACUACUAUCUUAGUAUCACUCAUAUUGAAUGAUAAUCAGUGAUUUGCAUCUUUUCCUAGGAUAAUCAAAACUAUUCGAAGACCAAAACUGUGUCAUACUUAAUUUUGAAGCUGAGAUUAUAGCACAGAGCAUGUUAUAAUUAGGGGCAUUAUAAACAGUUAUUGAGCAAGCAUAUAGAGAUGUGUAAGACUAAAGAAAUACGCACUGCACAUGGAGAAGGAAAAUUGGUUACUAUUAAUGAAAGGGUUUGUAAAUCUGCGAUCUUAUGCAUUUUUUAUAAUAAUUCAUUUGACUGCGAUUUAAGGUGACACUUUGGUUAAUUUUAGAAAACUGAAUAGUGUAAGCUGAAACACAUUUAAUAUUCAGAUUUUUACAACCACUAAUUCACACACCAGUGACCCUUUGAAAGACUUGAAAACAGAGUAAAUAUGAUAAAAAUGAAACAAGACAAAAAGAAUGGUACAUAAAUCCUAGGAAAACAUAUCACUUAAAUGCCAUUGCUCCUGUUUCAGUGUACUACUUGGUAGGAAGAGAGAAAAAUCCCUUUAAAUUUCUGUCUCCACAAAAGUUUUUAUCUCAUCCUAUCUUUAUCCUUUUCCCUCUUGUCCAGCCAUGAGCACAUUUACAUAAUUUUCUUGUCCACAACUAAUCUCUACCACCUCUGUCUUUUAGGAGGAAUAUAGCACUGCACUUAAAUCUUAGUGCUGUUUUUUUUCCUUUUAAUGUUUAUUUUAUUUUAUUUUUUAUAUUUUACUUAUCUGACUACUAGAAAGAAUAUGUUUGAAGGAAGUUCUUGUUCUCUAUUCCUGAUUUUCCCUUCUGCAUAGAAGACUCUCCUUCCACCCCUUUGCUUACUUUACCCCAGAUGGAGGCACUUGACUUGAGGAAUAAAGUAGGCAUUUUCAGGUCCACUGCUGUCUUCCCACAAGUACACAGACUCUCUUCUCCACCAGUGGCUGCCUUUCGGCCAUCAGUCUAGUCCAGUCUGCUGGGCCCUGGUGGGUAAUUCAACAUCAGUGAUUCAUUCAGCAGGUCCAAGUGACUGUUAAUCUAAUCAAGCACCUCCCAUUUGGCCUCUAUCCAUAAAAGAGCUGAUUAGUGAGUUUCACCUGCCACUCCUUUAUUUUAUUUUCUAAUUGUUUUUCAGAACUCUGAUGUGGAAGGGGGGUGUUAUUUCUUGGGUGCCCCUUGGAGUCCCACACAGUAUUAUAUGACUGAUUUUGUAAUUUUUUUAACUCUAACGAAGUUCAAUAAGAGAACCAUCCUAAAAGGUGUUCUACAGCUACCCUAAACACCAUGUUCUGAGUUCUUUGUUGAGAAAGAACCCUUUUACAGAAAAGAUAGGUAAACAGAAGAAUGUCAGUGUGAAGGCCCUCCUCCCCUCUUUUAUCCUAGUCUGAUGCAAAUCAGUGCAGCUUCCCCUUAAAAUUAACUUAACAUUGUCAGACAUUAUUCUUAGUGAGAUUUAUAUGCUGAAAGAUUUUCAGAUUUAUAUGCUGAAAAUUUUUCUUUAUCUCGAUGCAAAUGAGAUGGGAAUCCAUGUUGAGAAGAUGUGCUGCCAGGUAUUCUUCAGGAUUCCUAAUACUAUAUCAUCUCUGCAACAGAGUUUCCAUAGUAUAUGCCCAGAAGUUUUCAUAUAGCUCACAUGAAAAUGUUGGGGUAUUGGGAAAUAUUGGUUUGCAUGAGGUUAAUCAUACUUAAUCUUUUACAAACUAUUAUGGUAUAAAAUUCACUGUGAGUCUCUGAGAAGUGAAUGUGGUUCUCACUAGUCCUCUUCACUUUGGGAGUCUUCAUCUUAAUAGCUUUUCUCACCAGGAGUAAAGACAGAUGCUGGAUGAAGGGCUGUUUUUGGUAGAAACACAUGGCAGAUAAAUAAUAUUUGCUGGAAUUACAUCAGACUCAGGUGCGAUGAGUCAGGAACACUAUUUUAUCAGUUUUCCCAGGGAUGGUCAGACCCUGGAGGAUUCAUUAAUGAUAAAUCAGUUUACAGGAAACGGAUUUAUAAACGAGAAUGCCAAUUUAUUCACUUAAAUGGAACAACACACUGCACUCUGUAACAGAAUCCUUGCAUCAGCUGGCAAGUACAUGCUCCUUCUCUGUAAAAGUCUUGGGAAAUCAAAGUAAGUUCAGAUGGUUUCUGUGGUGAGUCAAGAGGUGUAACAAAAGGAAUUGGCUGAUAUUUGGGGAAUGUUGCGUUCAAUAGUAGCAGACUUAUCCCUCCUUCUGCUUUUAGGUUAAUACCUGCCAUGAAGUUAAGAACAUCACUAAACCAGCUAUGUUCUGAGUCAUUGCUGAUUAAGCAUUGACAGAUUUUAGUAUUUACUUUUAAAAAAGAACCAAACUAAACAAUAUUCCUGAUCACUUAACAAAAUAUUCUGUUAUAACAUUUCUUUGUGAUGGAUAUUUCACACAAUUAAUUACUUUCUAGCUUAUCUUUCAUUACUUAUAUUUCAUAUUAGUGUGUCUCCAUUGGGUUUUGGGAAAGGUCCAUAUGCUCCUUGCUCAAUUUUAGGAGACUUAUUUAUCUUAUCAUCAAGACAUGUAAAAUAGUCUCUUAGGGAGGGUUACUUCUACAAAUGACUAAUCUCAUUUGUUUUGUGUUGAAUGAUGUCAGCUUCAAUUCAUGCAGUGGCAUUUAAUGACCAUAUUCAUAUAUUUUAGGGUAAUUCCUAUUUAAAGGCAUAACAUCAAUGUGCUGUCUACAUAACUAAAACACUCUGUUGCUGCUUGGUGUGGAGAUUUUACGCAAACAAUCAUACUUUUUUUUCUUAAAACACACACACACACACACACACACACCUGAAAGGAACACAACUUCAAACACUGGCCUUAUUCUAAAAUAUCAUAUUUAAUGAUUCAGUAUAGGACAUGUUUAUAAGGUCUUUGUCUUAUGCCAGCUUUUGCAGUUGGCUUGAGGACAUAAAAGAUAAACAGAAGUCAGAAUGCAAUUCUGAACAUACAUUGAAUGUAUUAAAUAUUAAUUGGAAAAUCCUCUUAUAUUGAGCAAACAACCAUCCAUCUAUUGCUCAUUUAUUUCAGAGGGUACCAGAAAUGAGUUAGUUUUCCUUGAAAAAUUCUCCCUCAAUGCUGAUUAUUCAUGUCUUACCAUUUAAAUUUUAUCAUUUUACAAUAACAACUUUGUGCCAUUUUUUGUAACACACAGAUAUUCAGAAUUAUAGGGAAUCUUGAAUGCAAAUCUCCCUCAGAGAAUUCACCAUGCUGUCAGCAUUGUGAAAGCUGAAAAAAAAAAGAGACUAGGUAAGAAACCUAACUCAGUAGCACAUUGGCUGGACAAGCAUUAAAACUGAAAGUUGUAAGACUUAAGAGUCUACCUGGAUUCUAGUUCUCUGCUAUAUUAUCUUGGAAAAGCCCUUUAUCCUGUAUGGAUCUCAUUUUACUUAUCUCAUUAAGAUGGUUAUAAACUCAGAUGGCUACAAAUGUUAGGCAGAUAACCUAAUGAUUAAACUGGGCUGAGGUUGAGACUCAAAAAUUAUAAGAGGUUGUGGCAUUAAAAAAGCAAAGAGAAACCUAGAUGCCUUACAAGUUUGUAGCUAGUUGACUUAGUUGCAGUUAUUCAUUUGGGAUUUUACUGAGCAACAUUUUCUAAACUCUUGAAAGUAUAUUGGUGUGUUAAAUAUCACUUCCAAGGAGAAUGACUGGUCCUCUACAUGCUUUAGUAUUUUGUGCAGUAACACAAGGCAACAUUAGGAUGGAGCUCAGAAAGGACUAAAGAAUGAAAAAACAAACAAAACAAUCAAACAAACAAAACAGGUACUUAGAUCUCAGGUGGUUUUGUAGAUCAGAAAGUAUUUUGCCUUACUUUUUAGAAAGGUAAACUGGAGUUAAUAUGGCUAAUUUAGGUCUCUUAGAUUGUUAACAGCCAAGCAAAGACUAAUACCCCAGACUCCUGCUGGGUCUCUUUUUCUAACACUGCCAUUUUUUGUAACACACAGAUAUUCAGAAUUAUAGGGAAUCUUAAUAACAGUCUAGGUCAACCCCUUCAUUUUUCUAGAUGAGGAAACCUACACUCAAGGGAUUGGGGUUAUCAAUGACACAGUCAGCAACAGAGCUCCAGCUACAACCCAAUUCUCCUAACAAACAAGCGGUAUUCAUUUUUCCAUGUAUUCCGCAAUUCUUUUCCUUUUUGUAAAAAUUGAUGCAGAAGAAAGCCAUAGCCAUGAUGUCUAAAAUGUCUGCACAACUCCUGUUUUAAAUAUUGUGCAAAUAGUGAUAUAAGUGACUAAGAAGUGAUCUUUAGAAGAGACCCUGCUUGUGCUGUUACAUGAUUUUCAUUGCAUAGUAAACCUGUCUAUUUCUCUAGUUCAAUAUAUGAGCAUGUUAUAUCUGGCACAUACUCUGCUUAUUUUUUUUUUGGUUGAAUAUUCAACAAAAAUUCUAAGUGUACUGGUUUUUAUAGGCAACAAUAAUCCUGGUAUCAUAUAUAAAUCAUUGCUAAGCCAGGCUUCUUCCUCUGAUGACUUCACUUUUUUUUUUUUCUUUUUUAUGGCUGCACCUGCAGCACACAGAAGUUCCCAGGCUAGAGGCUGAAUCAGAGCUGUAGCUGGAACCUGUGCCACAGCCAGGGCAACACUGGAUCCCAGCUGCCUCUGUAAUGUAGGCAGCAACUUGCAGCAACACUGGAUCUUUAACCCACUGAGUGAGGCCAGGGAUCAAACCCACAUCCUCACAGAGACAACAUUGGGUCCUUAACCCAGUGAGCCGCAAUGGGAGCUCCCAUGAUUAUAUACUCUUGAGGAAGGCACAAUUUGAUCAUUGUAAAUUGUGCUAAAAUCUUCUCAUGAAAUCUUGAAUGGAAGUGUAUAAGUCAGACUGGCAAGCUUUGUCAUCAUGAAAGGCUUUUGUUACCAUGGAGAGAAUUAUCAAUAUUCACAUUAUUUAGCAGAGGACAUUUAAGAGAACACCGAUAUAUAUAUAUAUAUAUAUUUUUUUUUUUCACAAAGAAGGAAUCAGUGAGAAUAUAAUAGAAAAGGACAAUGCUGUGCUACCAGUGAGUACUUCAUAAGGGUAAUAUGGAGUCCUGGAAGGUCAUCCACCUUCACCCUAAACCAGCUUUGCAGUCAAACUCCUGAGACUUUCAAUACAUUCACUUUACCCCAAGUUCCUUAGAACUUAUCUCAAAAUGUAAUAUUUGCCUUCACUUGUGUGUUUCCAGGCUUGAUACAGGGGUUAAAUUGUUAAUGCUUUCCCUUCACUUCCUUAAAUUUUUUUUAAUCAAACUUUGCUUUUUCUCUCCCUGGGGAACAACAAAUGGACAGCUUUCCUCUCUUGUUCUCCUCCUUCCAUUACCAUCACAGCAGAAUGCAUCUGAGACUGUAAUAAUUCAGUGAUGAAAUACAAAAUGUCGCAAUGCCAUCUCUCUUAAAGUGAACUGAGAUUUUGUUAUGCCAUUUUAGGUGCACUAAUAGCAACUCAAGCCCCAUGGAGUAUCCUAAUGUGAAUUUAAUGAGCUGAUAGCAUAUAAAUGACAGUACUGUGAGGGUGAAGGUGACAUAACCUUUUUCUUUCUAUUUGAUGUUUGUCUUUGAAAAACUACAGAUCUGUUCAAAAUGUACAGCGUUAUUACUAAGUAGCGCAUCACUCACCAAAGGAGCUACUAUUGUUUUAGCAUUUAAAAAUAGUUUUCUCUGUUACUGGAAUAAGUAGCAAGAGCAAUUUUUUUUUUAUCAUUAGGCUAAUAAAAAUCUGAAUAGUCUUUCUCAGAAUAAACACAAAUUAUGUACUGCUCUGGUGUCUAUUUUGCCAUAGGCUGAUUAUUUCCAGUGACAGAUAUUUACUUAUAGGCCCCAUAUCUUUGAAUGUCAUAGUCAGUGAUAAAACAUCACUACAAAUUGGGUGUUAAAAAUAGCAAAACUAUCCAUCCUUAUUUGUGGUAUUAUUUGAGAGUGCAAUUUAGAUGCUUUAUAAAGAUGGUCUUUAUAGAAGCUUUGUCAGUUACAAUCAAUUCCACAGUUUAAAUUCAGUCUUUCAGGGUGGUCCACUGUGAAAAUUCAGGUAACCAAAUUAAAGACUGUAGUUU
RNAcentral lists this long non-coding RNA (8142 nucleotides) under Sus scrofa (pig). Its description in RNAcentral is "lncRNA (ENSSSCG00025060159.1)". Lineage: Eukaryota; Metazoa; Chordata; Mammalia; Artiodactyla; Suidae. The record is from RNAcentral.